This 734-nucleotide ribosomal RNA is filed under the name Dysderocrates egregius. RNAcentral describes it as "SSU rRNA". It matches the Rfam family "Eukaryotic small subunit ribosomal RNA", at positions 1036 to 1789 of the family's 1831-position model. Lineage: Eukaryota; Metazoa; Arthropoda; Arachnida; Araneae; Dysderidae. The record is from RNAcentral.
ACGAUGCCAACCAGCGAUCCGCCUGAGUUCCUCAAAUGACUCGGCGGGCAGCUUCCGGGAAACCAAAGUGUUUGGGUUCCGGGGGAAGUAUGGUUGCAAAGCUGAAACUUAAAGGAAUUGACGGAAGGGCACCACCAGGAGUGGAGCCUGCGGCUUAAUUUGACUCAACACGGGAAAACUUACCCGGCCCGGACACUGGAAGGAUUGACAGAUUAAGAGCUCUUUCUUGAUUCAGUGGGUGGUGGUGCAUGGCCGUUCUUAGUUGGUGGAGCGAUUUGUCUGGUUAAUUCCGAUAACGAACGAGACUCUAGCCUACUAAAUAGGCGUUCCGAUCCUUUAUGUCGGACGUUCUUCUUAGAGGGACAAGCGGCUUUUAGCCGCACGAGACAGAGCAAUAACAGGUCUGUGAUGCCCUUAGAUGUCCGGGGCCGCACGCGCGCUACACUGAAGGAAUCAGCGUGUGCUUUCCCUGUCUGGUAGGACUGGGUAACCCGUUAAACCUCCUUCGUGAUAGGGAUAGGGGCUUGUAAUUGUUCCCCUUGAACGAGGAAUUCCCAGUAAGCACGAGUCAUAAGCUCGUGUUGAUUACGUCCCUGCCCUUUGUACACACCGCCCGUCGCUACUACCGAUUGAAUGAUUUAGUGAGGUCUUCGGACUGGCGCUCGUAGCGACCUUUGGCCGCGCCGACGUGCCGGAAAGAUGACCAAACUUGAUCAUUUAGAGGAAGUAAAAGU